This 437-nucleotide ribosomal RNA is filed under the name uncultured Candidatus Brocadia sp. RNAcentral's name for it is "bacterial SSU rRNA". It matches the Rfam family "Bacterial small subunit ribosomal RNA", at positions 383 to 810 of the family's 1533-position model. Lineage: Bacteria; Pseudomonadati; Planctomycetota; Candidatus Brocadiia; Candidatus Brocadiales; Candidatus Brocadiaceae. The record is from RNAcentral.
GUGACGAAGCGACGCCGCGUGCGGGAGGAAGGCCUUCGGGUUGUAAACCGCUGUCGGGAGUUAAGAAAUGCAAGGAUGUUAAUAGCGUUCUUGCUUGACUAAGGCUCCGGAGGAAGCCACGGCUAACUCUGUGCCAGCAGCCGCGGUAAUACAGAGGCGGCAAGCGUUGUUCGGAAUUAUUGGGCGUAAAGAGCACGUAGGCGGCUGUGUAAGUCGGUUGUGAAAGCCUUCCGCUUAACGGAAGAACGGCAUCCGAUACUGCAUAGCUUGAGUGCGGGAGGGGAGAGUGGAACUUCUGGUGGAGCGGUGAAAUGCGUAGAUAUCAGAAGGAACACCGGCGGCGAAGGCGACUCUCUGGUCCGUAACUGACGCUGAGUGUGCGAAAGCUAGGGGAGCAAACGGGAUUAGAUACCCCGGUAGUCCUAGCCGUAAACGAU